Molecule: non-coding RNA, 1210 nt
Organism: Punica granatum (pomegranate)
Lineage: Eukaryota; Viridiplantae; Streptophyta; Magnoliopsida; Myrtales; Lythraceae
Source: RefSeq, a predicted model, not a curated record
GGACUCUGAGACCUAUUUGGGUUGGAGCCUAUAUAUGAAGCUAUCUUCCCCUAUAAGGUACUAUUUGAGUAUUAGGGAUAUGGAUUUGGUAAGUGAGACUACUUAUAUACACAAAAGCUAUUCCUUCCUCCAUCCUCCCCUCAACCCACCUUCUCUCUCUACAAAAAGCACCUCCCCUAAAAGUAAAAUCCCAAGUCCUGACUCUCUCACUAGCGCGUCCGACUCCUACCGGGUGUGUUGGGCGUCACUGUCAUCACCAAUGGAUAAUUGAGGCUCUCUCUCUCUCUCUCCUCCCCCCCAAGUGGUGGCGUGGUAGGAAGAGAUGGCAGCACCGCGUCGGUUGAUCUACGGCGACCUGAUCGUCCUCUCUGAGGUCGAUUUCAUGGCUGAGUUCGCUGUGGUAAACCCCAUUUCGAUCAAGCCCGAAGCUCCUCCAUGACUAGGUCGUUCCCGUGGCUGUGGUCAUUUCCCCCAUGACAUCUUCGACGUCUCUGCUCUUGGAUCCGCUGUGUAGACGGUGUUUAACGGUGUCCCAAAGGUCGCAAUGGCCUUUCUCCUCUUACUUUUCGUCAUUGGUAAGGUUCAUGCGGUGGCGGUCUCCCCUUUCCUUCCGGUGAUCACGCCCUCUCCCUCUCCGAUCAGACCUAGGAUGGUAAGUGGUGACAGUAACGGCGCAGCGGCUUCCUCCAACCCGACAUCUUUGAUUGAUUGGCUUUUCCCCCUUUCUUCCAGUGACGGAUUAUUCUCUUGGCCUCCCGUCUCCUCCCCGCGAUAGUAUGCUCGCCAACCCUGACACACGAUCGUGCCAUCAGUCUAAUAGUCCUACCUCUUGCCUAAAAAACCGGACCUUUGUGGCUUUUGCUCCUUUUUUGUUGGUUUUUGCAAGUCUUGGCUCUCCUACUAUGGUUACUAGUCUGAACUGAUCAAGGAGGCAUUGGGCCUUCUUGGUUUGAUUACUUAGGGAUUGGACUAUUAUAGAUUAGGUAGACUGAUUAUGUCUGUUGGUUGUGAUUAUUAGUGGGAUCUUGUGCUCGGAUACUAGCCCGGGACAACCCGACCACCCUACUUCAAUAUGGAGUAAAAUUUCAUCGUGGAUUUAGGAUGUCCUCUUUCUCGAUUAUUGUUGGGGUCCACGAUGAAAUAUAGCUAGCAGGCAAUGAUAGGUGCUAACGGUUUCAAGAUAGAAACUACAAUUGUACCCAUUCUUCUA